GGGCCCAUAGCUCAGACGGUUAGAGCACCUGACUCAUAAUCAGGGGGUCGCUGGUUCGAUCCCAGCUGGGCCCACCU
This 77-nucleotide transfer RNA is filed under the name Bacteroidales bacterium. RNAcentral's name for it is "tRNA-Met". It matches the Rfam family "tRNA". Rfam says of the family: Transfer RNA (tRNA) molecules are approximately 80 nucleotides in length. Their secondary structure includes four short double-helical elements and three loops (D, anti-codon, and T loops). The record is from RNAcentral. Lineage: Bacteria; Pseudomonadati; Bacteroidota; Bacteroidia; Bacteroidales.